CCUGCGGGCAGCAGAGUGGGAGAAGGGUGGUUAGUAGCGAACUCCUCUGCUGUGACGGAACCUCAGGUCUGGCUGAGGUCCUGCACUCAGAGGUGAGACAGUCCUUUCUGUGCCCCUCCACUCAGCCUGUGGAGCCCGAGCUCUGGCAAGAGGACAUGGAGGCAGCACUGAAGCGAAAAGCGCCCGGGGCACUGGUGAAAAUACGACUGCUGGCUUGCUCGCUCAGCAGAUGCCGCGUGGAGUGAAACUGCUGCCGCAGAAGCACCUGCCUGUGCAUGGGGUCUGGGGGUCUGCAGGGCUCACCAGUGACACCCGGGGAAGCUGAGUCGCUAGUGAGAUGCGGCCCAGGCUCCAGUGUUCAGCUGUCUGGCUGCAGAGCUCCACCUCCCCACACGCAUGUCCCGAGGUCAGCAGGGCAGGAGGACAGCUCACACAGACCCUGCACCACAGGGAGUGGCAUGCGAGCACCGCCUUCGAGGGGCCUUCGACGGGUCCAGGAGUAAAGGAAGAGCAACCCAGGAGGAAAGCACGGUCUGAGCACAAGCAUUGAGACCAGAAAGGGGCCAAGACGCAGGACAGCAAGCUGCUGACGAGCCAAAGGCCCGGGAGUGCAGGUCUCUCCUGGCUCGGGGCUCCACAGCAAACGUGCUGGGCACUGCACACAUCACCAGGUCAUUUCUGAUGCUCAGAGCAGCGAUGAGAAUGCUCGGAAACUCCAGGUUUCCAAGCAGACGUCAGGGAAGGAGUCAUCACGAGUCAGUUCCUGGCUGCUGAGAGUCCGAGCCAUGCUGGUUUGGUACCAAGACCAGAGCCUCCCGUGCAGCCGUCCCCAGACCUUCCUGCUUUCUGCAGAGGCCAGUGUCACAGGCGCACAGGAAAGGCUGCUCGAGAGGGGGGCCAGGCAGGUGGACAAGCGCACCAGGACAGAAGACUGCAAAUCAAAGCCAACAAAACAAAGCCUGCGACGGGCCGGCCUGGGAAGCUCAGGUUCUCCAGGACAAGAAGGGCAGAAGCAAGCAGGAGAG
This 1025-nucleotide long non-coding RNA is filed under the name Heterocephalus glaber (naked mole-rat). RNAcentral describes it as "lncRNA (ENSHGLG00000047856.1)". Lineage: Eukaryota; Metazoa; Chordata; Mammalia; Rodentia; Bathyergidae. The record is from RNAcentral.